Molecule: ribosomal RNA, 391 nt
Filed under: uncultured bacterium
Lineage: Bacteria
Description: bacterial SSU rRNA
Rfam family: Bacterial small subunit ribosomal RNA
Source: RNAcentral
GGGAUCACACAAGCGGUGGAGCAUGUUGUUUAAUUCGAAGCAACGCGAAGAACCUUACCAGGCCUUGACAUGUACGGAUUAGCUCCCUGAAAGGGGAGUGACAGCUCUUCGGAGUCGGAACGUACACAGGUGUUGCAUGGCUGUCGUCAGCUCGUGCCGUGAGGUGUUGGGUUAAGUCCGGCAACGAGCGCAACCCACAUCCCUAGUUGCCAGCAGUUCGGCUGGGCACUCUAUGGAAACUGCCCGUGAUAAGCGGGAGGAAGGUGUGGAUGACGUCAAGUCCUCAUGGCCCUUACGGGUUGGGCUACACACGUGCUACAAUGGUAGUGACAAUGGGUUAAUCCCAAAAAGCUAUCUCAGUUCGGAUUGUCGUCUGCAACUCGACGGCAUG